GAGAGGGGGUAAAACCUUCAAAGUAAGUUAUGUGGAUCAAGGUAUGAUGAUUAAUUGGAGUUCUAGUUCAUUUACUUUGAGAAAAUUAGAGUGUUUAAAGCAGCCUCUUGGGGCACUGAAUACAUUAGCAUGGGAUAAUAAAAUAGGAUCUUCACAAUAUAUUUUAUUGGUUUAAAUUGGAUAUGAAGAUAAUGAUUAAUAGGGACAGUUGGGGGGUAUUCAUAUUGGGGUGGUUAGCGGUGAAAUGCUCGGAUCCAUUCAAGAUGAACUAAAGCGAAGGCAUUUACCAAGGAUGUUUUCAUUAAUCAAGAACGAAAAGUUAAGGGAUCGAAGACGAUUAGAUACCGUCGUAGUCUUAACUAUAAACUAUGCCGACCAGGGAUAUGAGUUUGUUAGGAUUAUAUG
Molecule: ribosomal RNA, 405 nt
Filed under: uncultured eukaryote
Lineage: Eukaryota
Description: bacterial SSU rRNA
Rfam family: Eukaryotic small subunit ribosomal RNA
Source: RNAcentral